GAUCAUGGCUCAGAUUGAACGCUGGCGGAAUGCUUUACACAUGCAAGUCGAACGGUAGAGGGGGCAACCCCUUGAGAGUGGCGAACGGGUGAGUAAUAUAUCGGAACGUCGCCCAGUCGGUGGGGGAUAACGUAGCGAAAGUUACGCUAAUACCGCAUACGAUCUAAGGAUGAAAGCGGGGGACUCGCAAGAGCCUCGCGCGAUUGGAGCGGCCGAUAUCAGAUUAGGUAGUUGGUGGGGUAAAGGCUCACCAAGCCAACGAUCUGUAGCUGGUCUGAGAGGACGACCAGCCACACUGGAACUGAGACACGGUCCAGACUCCUACGGGAGGCAGCAGUGGGGAAUUUUGGACAAUGGACGCAAGUCUGAUCCAGCCAUUCCGCGUGCAGGAUGAAGGCCCUCGGGUUGUAAACUGCUUUUGUACGGAACGAAAAGGUUUCUAUUAAUACUAGGAGCUCAUGACGGUACCGUAAGAAUAAGCACCGGCUAACUACGUG
This 497-nucleotide ribosomal RNA is filed under the name uncultured bacterium. RNAcentral's name for it is "bacterial SSU rRNA". It matches the Rfam family "Bacterial small subunit ribosomal RNA", at positions 15 to 507 of the family's 1533-position model. The record is from RNAcentral.